RNAcentral lists this ribosomal RNA (253 nucleotides) under uncultured bacterium. RNAcentral describes it as "partial 16S ribosomal RNA". It matches the Rfam family "Bacterial small subunit ribosomal RNA", at positions 524 to 776 of the family's 1533-position model. The record is from RNAcentral.
UACGCAGGUGGCAAGCGUUGUCCGGAUUUACUGGGUGUAAAGGGCGUGUAGGCGGGAGAUUAAGUCAGAUGUGAAAUUCCACGGCUCAACUGUGGCGCUGCAUCUGAAACUAAUUUUCUUGAGUGCUGGAGAGGAAAGCGGAAUUCCUAGUGUAGCGGUGAAAUGCGUAGAUAUUAGGAGGAACACCAGUGGCGAAGGCGGCUUCCUGGACAGUAACUGACGCUGAGGCGCGAAAGCGUGGGGAGCAAACAGG